RNAcentral lists this long non-coding RNA (357 nucleotides) under Lepisosteus oculatus (spotted gar). Its description in RNAcentral is "lncRNA (ENSLOCG00000022803.1)". The record is from RNAcentral. Lineage: Eukaryota; Metazoa; Chordata; Actinopteri; Semionotiformes; Lepisosteidae.
AGUUUUAUUCUACAAUUUUAAAAGCAAAACUUAAAGAUGCAGUAAAAGCUUUUUUACUUUAUAUUAUAGGUCUGGCUGAAGUCAAGCAGAUAGGCGAGGUGGAGAAUGCACCAGGCAGACAGCUUCAGCUGGGGAUGCACUGGGCAGACUGACAGAACAGGGAAUGUGCUGUGCAGCGAAGCAGAAGAGAUGGAAACCUGUGUAGCCAGCUCUCUUCAGGAGGGAUCACUGCUUCAGCAUCUUACUCUUUCCAGCCAUGCAAAGGCUCAUGGGCCCCUGUGAGUAUUUUCUUCUUUUUUUUUUUUGCUUCAUUUCAAACUUUCAGCUUCUCUAUUUCAGACUCUUCACUUGGCAGCA